Molecule: long non-coding RNA, 301 nt
Organism: Lolium rigidum
Lineage: Eukaryota; Viridiplantae; Streptophyta; Magnoliopsida; Poales; Poaceae
Exons: 3
Source: RefSeq, a predicted model, not a curated record
UGGACAACAUAAAUGGAGAAAUUGUAAGAAAUGUGGUAAAGGAGCUGUGGGAAAAGACCCUAGAGAUGUGAAGUGAAAGAAGAGGAACAUUAAUAAAUCUCAAGGUACCAUGCUGAAUACUGAAGGCGAUGCUGAUCAUUGAUGCUGUACAGGAGCAUAUUCUUCUAGCUAGACAGGUACACUGCUGAAGACUGGGAUCAACUGAAGGUGAUGCUGUCACAUUGUGAUUGUGUUUGAAUUGGAAACAUGGUGAUGAUGUUCACAGAGUACGUACAUAUGUUCAUAUUGUGUGCUUCUUGUA